This 699-nucleotide long non-coding RNA is filed under the name Salvia miltiorrhiza (redroot sage). RNAcentral's name for it is "long non-coding RNA (SMIL_LNC013531)". Lineage: Eukaryota; Viridiplantae; Streptophyta; Magnoliopsida; Lamiales; Lamiaceae. The record is from RNAcentral.
AAUACGUUGUUUGAGAAUUGUGUACACUUGUUAGUUGACUCGGUGGGUUGAUCUCCAUCGGGCUCUAACCAGAGGCGUUAUAAGGGUGCUCGGCUGGAUGUGUUCCGGAGCAUGAGAAAUAUUAGGCCUGCCUGGGUAGCGUCCCGAGGUCAAAGUAAACUUGUCUGGGUUACGCCCUCAGUUCAAGUAAGCGGGAGACAGAGAUCCGUCGGUGGCUAAAAGGUCCGGGAUCACAGCGAGUAACAGAAAGGGAGUGUGACAUGUGCGCACAAAUGAAAGAAAAUAUUUUAACAUGCUUAGAAGUUAUUUCAAUUUAAAACCUUCUAAGUCAUGUCAAGUAUGAUUGGAUAAACUGUCUUUAUUAAAAUAUGAAAUGUUUCAGAAAAUGCAUGCCCACUAAGUACAUUAGUACUUAGCCCAAAAAUACUUUCAAAUGUUUUCAGGUUGGCUGGCUGGUGCUGACGGGACGGAGCUGAGGCUAGCAAUAAAUUCCUAUGUUAGACUUCCGCUGUAGCAAUUACUCAUAUCAGUCUUUUGUUUUUCCCAACUUAAGAUCUUCAUGUUAAACUGCAAAUGAUAUACCUGAUCGAGCUUAGACUCUUCACUACUAAAUUUAUGCCAAUGAAUGUCGGUUGUCAAAAGCAUGAAACAAAACUUGUGAUCCAAAGGGGCAUAGCCCGACUUUCUAUCCUAUUUCGG